RNAcentral lists this long non-coding RNA (230 nucleotides) under Elaeis guineensis (African oil palm). Its description in RNAcentral is "long non-coding RNA (EGUI_LNC007844)". Lineage: Eukaryota; Viridiplantae; Streptophyta; Magnoliopsida; Arecales; Arecaceae. The record is from RNAcentral.
AAGCCAGGCAUCUAAAAGGAAAACAAUAAGGAAAACGGUCAUAGCUUCGAAAUGUCACAUGGCUUGCUUCCAAAAAAUGAAAUUGAUAUCCUCCAACCCCAAGCUUCUGCACUUUUCUUGUGGUCAGUGUUUUGAUGGUUGGAUAAUUAGGGAAUCACCUAGAUCAAGUGGUGGGCUCAUAACAUGUUGGAACAGACAGCUAGUUCAGGGAUCUCUCCUCUCAUAGGGCA